Long non-coding RNA from Mirounga angustirostris (Northern elephant seal), 3679 nucleotides. RefSeq lists it as uncharacterized. Lineage: Eukaryota; Metazoa; Chordata; Mammalia; Carnivora; Phocidae. The transcript has 3 exons. The record is from RefSeq and is a predicted model, not a curated record.
GAAGGCAGACCCUUAACUGACUGAGCCACCCAGGUGCCCUGAAUUUCCAUGUAUUCUUUGUAAUCAUAUGAAAGACAAAGAUACCAGGUAUAAUCUAAGAAAGUGAAAAACUAGUAACUAGGGUCAGGCUAAUGCUAAUUGGGGGAAUCCUUUAUUUUAUUUUAUUGUUUGUCAUGUUUUGUAUUUUCAUGAUAUUGGUCAAAUUAUUUUACGUUUGUAUAAUUCUUUUAUUGUUUAAGAUGUUUCUGUAUCCACAUAUUUUUUAAAAUUUUAAUUCCAGUAUAAUUAACAUACAGUGUUAUAUUGGUUUCAGGCAUACAAUAUAGUGAUUCAGCAAUUCUGUUCGGGAUGCCUGGGUGGCUCAGUUGGUUAAGCAUCUGCCUUUGAAUCAGGUCAUGAUCUCAGGGUCCUGGGGUUGAGUCCCACAUUGGGCUCCCUGCUCAGUAGGGAGCCUGCUUCUCCCUCUGCCUACCAUUCCCCCUGCUUGUGCUCUAGCUCUCUCUCUGAUAAAAAAAUUAAAAAAAGAAAAAAAAAAUUCUAUCCAUUUUUCAGUGCUCAUCACAACAGGUGUACUCUUAAUCUUUAAUUGGGGGAAUCCUUUUAGACCUGUAAACCGUGGUAUGAUAAUACAUAACAUUAAGGUGGUAUAGGGAUGGAUCUUAAUAUUACAAGAUUUGUAAUAUGGCUUGGAAAAAGCAAUUAAAUUUAAAAAGCUUGGAAGAUCAGGAUAGUACUUAGCAAAUUUUUUAAAAUAAUGACUAUAUAAAAGUACAUUGAUUUUACUACUCCUAGAAAUUAAAUAAUAGGUGAAGAAUUAGCUUAUUCAGCCAGAGAGUAUGCAUAUGAAUCAUGUAUUUAUAACUAUGUAGUCCGUCAUUAAAAAAUGUACAUAGAUCACAUAAUUAUGAAAUAAGAUUGUUUUGCAGAUUCUGGAGACAGAGUUUUUUUGCGUGUUUUACAUCAUCUCAAAGUACAGUAGACCCGGGCGCCUGGGUGGCUCAGUUGGUUAAGCGACUGCCUUCGGCUCAGGUCAUGAUCCUGGAGUCCCGGGAUCGAGUCCCGCAUUGGGCUCCCUGCUUGGCAGGGAGUCUGCUUCUCCCUCUGACCCUCCCCCGUCUCAUGUACUCGCUCGCUCUCAUUCUCUCUCCCUCAAAUAAAUAAAUAAAAUCUUUAAAAAAAAAAUUAAAAAAAAAAGUACAGUAGGCCCUUCUCUGUCCUGGCUGCAGCAGACAGCCAUAAAAGAAAGCCACCUUGUAAGAGCUUUGAACUAAUCACACUCCUAUAAUGCCAAGAAACAAAGCAAACUGAAACCUCAUCAGAUAAGGACGGACACUGCCACAGAGAGGGAGCGAUUUGGUGAACAAAUUUACUUGAGGAUCAUUAGUGGACUGUAGUCUAAAAGCAAAAGGAAUUAUUAGAAAAUUUUUAACUUGGGGCGCCUGGGUGGCUCCGUUGGUUAAGUGACUGCCUUCGGCUCAGGUCAUGAUCCUGGAGUCCCGGGAUCGAGUCCUGCAUCGGGCUCCCUGCUCGGCGGGGAGCCUGCUUCUCCCUCUGACCCUCCUCCCUCUCAUGCUCUCUCUCAUUCUCUCUCUCUAAAAUAAAUAAAUAAAAUCUUUAAAAAAAAAAAAAGAAAAGAAAAUUUUUAACUUUAUUCAGUAAUUGUAUUCUCUUAUUAAUAUUGCAGUGUUAUUUUGGAACUUAUUGUUAGGUAAAACAUAUAAUGUCUAGUAGGUAUCUUAGUUUUCUUUGGAUGCUGUAACAAAUUCCUUUAUGCUGCUUAUGCUACCAAAGGGAAAAUAUUAUUGAAUGUAUUUUUUGGAGUUUUUUUUUUUAAACAUUUUUAAGUGAAGCAUAGUUGACAUGCACAUAUUAGUUUCACGAUAUUGCAACACAGUGGAGAUACAGAAGAUACUUUUUUUUCAAGUUUUUCUUUUAAGAUAGCUUCAGGGAUUGCCCCUGAGUAAGAAACUGGCCCCACAGAGGGUCCUCUCUCCCCAUAGUUCUCCACCCCCACACCCCCACAGAUAUGAAGCCUAGCCUUCAUAUCUGUUUCACCUAAGACCUUCCACGAUCUCAAUUAGGAGCAAUACAUAAAAGCAUUUUGAUCCUGGUUGAUUCCCAUCUCUAGGAACCCCAAGGCUUGGCCAAUAUCACAAGAGAAAGAAAAAGUUACCAGCUGAGAUAUGGCAGCAAAAUCCCCAGGAAUCCACUAAAUCAAAGUGUGUUCAUACAGAGGCCUUGCCUAGUUCUUAGAACAGUAACUUUUUGCUUUGCUGUAACUUGAGCAUGAGGGAGAUACUGACACACUAUCCCAAAGAAAUAGGUGCUGAGAGAACCUUGGCCCCUAGUGUUCUACCACUGACUGCCUUCUUGACCGCCUUGUAUUUUGGUAAGUUUUACAAAGUAGCCUUACCUUUAGUUGCCUGGUCCUGUACUGCUGGUUUCAUUUAAUAAAAUGGACUUCUGGGUGUUUGGCAACAAAAGCAUUAAAGGACAGACCUGAAAUAAAACUAAAAGUGCUCCAAGAAAACAGUCACUGAGUUAUUCUACCUAAGGUAACGAAAAGAAAUUUCUAUCCUUGAGAAUCUCUGCUAACUCCAGAGGGCCAAGAAUUUCAUGAAAAAGAGGCCUCUUGGAAAGUGCCCAGUUUCUAUCUUUUCCAUUUUGAGAAAAUAUCACAGGUGUGCUUCUUUCUCUUUGUAUCCCUAAAAAGGCAAUUUACAUUUGUUUUGCCUUGGUUGUGAAGGCAGCACUGAAUUUAAUUUAGCUCUGAUUUUUGUCUUCUGGCUAAAUUGUAGCUCUCCAGGGAAACUUAAAAAUAUGGAUUGUGAAAUAUACCUAACCAUAUUCUUUUCAUUGCAGCUGCAUUUCUGCAUGUUCCAACCAUAGCACAAAUAAUUUGAGGAAUUUCUUCUAAUUAUAACCUCAAGCUUCCUGGAUCAUCUUUGAGUGAUGGAUGCUUCUGAGGCUCAGAUAAUUCACUGUGGAGGAAGCUAGUAGCCAGGCUAGAAGCCCAUGUGGUGAGGAACUGAGGCGUCCCACAGACAGCCAUGUGAGUGAACAAUCUGAAAGUGGCACCUUCAGCCCCAGUCAAGCCAUCAGAUGAAACUGCAGUAUCAGCCAGUAUCCUAACUACAACCUCCUGAGAGGCUCUGAGCCAGCGCCCCCCAGAUUUUGAACUUGGUCACAGUAUUUGACCUCUGAGUCUCAGUGUCAUCAUCUGGAAAAGGUAGGGUAAUAAUAGUACCUCAUAUAUUACGAUUGUAGUGAAAUAAUGUGAAUAAAAUGUGAAGUGUGAAUGAAAUGAUGCUUCUCAAGCACUUAGCCCAUUUCUGGCAAUACUAACCACUCAGUAAAUGUUAGAUGGCUACAAUUAUGUUGUGGAUUUUCAUCGUUUUGUUAUUAUCAUGACUAUUUUUAUUAUGUAAAGCAGAAAGUUAAUAUAUAAAUUUAUAAUAAAACGUAGUAUAGUACCUGGAAUGCUUGGGUAGCCUCUCAGUAGUACUUAAUUUCUUGGUUUAAGGAUAAUUUAGAUAUAGAACCGGUAGUUAGAAAGCUGUCUGAUUAAUGAGGUCAGAACAGAUGAACAUAGGGGAAGGGAAGGAAAAAUAAAAUAAGAUAAAAACAGAGAGGGAGGCAAACCAUAAGAGACUCUUAACUAUAGGAAAAAAAAACUGAG